GAUGAACGCUGGCGGCGUGCCUAAUACAUGCAAGUCGAGCGAACGGACGAGAAGAUUGCUUCUCUGAUGUUAGCGGCGGACGGGUGAGUAACACGUGGAUAACCUACCUAUAAGACUGGGAUAACUUCGGGAAACCGGAGCUAAUACCGGAUAAUAUUUUGAACCGCAUGGUUCAAAAGUGAAAGACGGUCUUGCUGUCACUUAUAGAUGGAUCCGCGCUGCAUUAGCUAGUUGGUAAGGUAACGGCUUACCAAGGCAACGAUGCAUAGCCGACCUGAGAGGGUGAUCGGCCACACUGGAACUGAGACACGGUCCAGACUCCUACGGGAGGCAGCAGUAGGGAAUCUUCCGCAAUGGGCGAAAGCCUGACGGAGCAACGCCGCGUGAGUGAUGAAGGUCUUCGGAUCGUAAAACUCUGUUAUUAGGGAAGAACAUAUGUGUAAGUAACUGUGCACAUCUUGACGGUACCUAAUCAGAAAGCCACGGCUAACUACGU
RNAcentral lists this ribosomal RNA (496 nucleotides) under uncultured bacterium. RNAcentral describes it as "partial 16S ribosomal RNA". It matches the Rfam family "Bacterial small subunit ribosomal RNA", at positions 28 to 506 of the family's 1533-position model. The record is from RNAcentral.